This is a non-coding RNA of Trichobilharzia regenti, 46 nucleotides long. NCBI's taxonomy places the organism in Eukaryota, Metazoa, Platyhelminthes, Trematoda, Strigeidida, Schistosomatidae. The record is from Rfam.
GUACUGAUGAAGAGUCCCAAACUAGGACUAAAUAGCUGUCCAGUAC